This 73-nucleotide transfer RNA is filed under the name Canis lupus dingo (dingo). It matches the Rfam family "tRNA". Rfam says of the family: Transfer RNA (tRNA) molecules are approximately 80 nucleotides in length. Lineage: Eukaryota; Metazoa; Chordata; Mammalia; Carnivora; Canidae. The record is from Rfam by way of RNAcentral.
ACCUGACAGGCUCAGUCGGAAGAGCAUGUGACUCUUGAUCUCAGGGUCAUGGGUUGGAGCCCCAUGUUGGGUG